RNAcentral lists this ribosomal RNA (256 nucleotides) under uncultured bacterium. Its description in RNAcentral is "partial 16S ribosomal RNA". It matches the Rfam family "Bacterial small subunit ribosomal RNA", at positions 524 to 776 of the family's 1533-position model. The record is from RNAcentral.
UACAGAGGUCUCAAGCGUUGUUCGGAUUCAUUGGGCGUAAAGGGUGCGUAGGUGGCGCGCUAAGUCAGGUGUGAAAUUUCGGAGCUUAACUCCGAAACUGCAUUCGAUACUGGCGUGCUUGAGGACUGGAGAGGAGACUGGAAUUCAUGGUGUAGCAGUGAAAUGCGUAGAGAUCAUGAGGAAGACCAGUGGCGAAGGCGGGUCUCUGGACAGUUCCUGACAGCUGAGGCACACGAAGGCCAGGGGAGCAAACGGG